This is a small nucleolar RNA of Cornus florida, 88 nucleotides long. RefSeq annotates it as small nucleolar RNA Z122. The transcript has a single exon. The record is from RefSeq and is a predicted model, not a curated record. Lineage: Eukaryota; Viridiplantae; Streptophyta; Magnoliopsida; Cornales; Cornaceae.
UUUGGGAAAUGAUGCCAACAUAAAAACAGAUUAUCAGAGGCUCCAGCUUUGCUGAGUAUUUUAAUUUGCUCGUCAGUCUGAUCCCAAA